AGACGCACUGAAUAGGCGAUAAGAAGGCGUUGUCGGAAGUCGCCGCGUGUUCACACGUCACUUCGAAUGUCACGGUUUCGCGUUAAUUAAGGAAUCUUGAAACAAUUAGAAAAAGGAACGGCAACAAACACGAGACGGUUACGCAACGGAUGAAUCAUGGCCCAAGAUUUCAACAAUCCAUCCAUUCUUUGCUAAAUAGAGACCCAUUUACAUGUGUACACAAGUAUCCCCUUCGUUACGUGAGAAAUCAUCGAUCUAGCUCGCAAUUGCGUAAAACGAGAAGAAACGAAUUCCCUAUUUUCUGCUGCGUAAGCGUAACAUUUGAAAAAUGAAAAAAAAUUCCACUCGCUCGGCAGUUUCCAGUGUCCGGUAAUUCCCGAUUCUGCGUUUCACUGGCUUCCACACAUUUUUUAUCCAUCCGCGUACUGCAUUAAUAAAAGAUAGCGCGAUAGAUAGACAAUCGACGGAUAAACUGUAAUCGAUGAACACUAAUGUAUUCCAUGGCUGAGGGCUGUAUGCAGUCGACACCACAUACAACACUGUCGAGUUUACAUGUGAAGUGACAUAACGGGCCCAAAUUUUCUUUUGAGAAUGCAGUAUGGAGUAAUCAGAAAAUUAAAUGCAGAUCAGUUGUUUACGUAUGAGAACGAUACCCUCGGCCACGAAAUCCCACUACAGAAAAGCCAACCAAAAAAUAGUAUCGAUAGCAAGGGAUUCAUCGUUCCGGUAAAGCCGAGCAGCGUCAACCGGUCGGUGGUGUCUACGGAUUUCAGAAAAGCCGGUGAUCAGGGGAGGUCGGAAUUCCUACGAACGGUGGCGGCGCCGGAUGCGCGCGCUCUUCGAACGUUAACGGUGUUAACCUUGAUCCUGCGAGCGACCGAGUACCGACGAUGCAAGACGAUUAUAAACCUCGAUAGGCGGAUAAUGAUGCAGAAACGCGUCCGACGUAAAUGGAUUUGGCAUGUGCGAUGGGAGUGGCGAAUGGUCUCGCCGGCGAAAAAGGAGACGGGUGAAAGAAAAAGAGGAGAAAACGCCGAGUGGCGAAAGGAAGGAGUACUCGGCGACGCCGGGGGCCGAGGGGAGGCAGCGGGAAAAGAAGAGAAGGAAGGACUAACCGAAGAAACCGAACGGGAAACAGAGAAGGCUAGAGGGGAAAGAACAGGACUAUCGCGAAGAAGAAGAAGAAGAAGAUGACAAGGAGUAGGACGAUGUAAGUGGUGGCAACGACGACGGUCCUGUUGACGGUAAUGGUUGGCGUCGGUCGCCCGGUGGAGGUGGCGAACAUCGUCCGAAAACCCAGA
Non-coding RNA from Nomia melanderi (Alkali bee), 1301 nucleotides. The record is from RefSeq and is a predicted model, not a curated record. NCBI's taxonomy places the organism in Eukaryota, Metazoa, Arthropoda, Insecta, Hymenoptera, Halictidae.